CCUACGGGCGGCAGCAGUGGGGAAUAUUGCACAAUGGGGGAAACCCUGAUGCAGCGACGCCGCGUGAAGGAAGAAGUAUUUCGGUAUGUAAACUUCUAUCAGCAGGGAAGAAAAUGACGGUACCUGACUAAGAAGCCCCGGCUAACUACGUGCCAGCAGCCGCGGUAAUACGGAGGGGGCCAGCGUUAUCCGGAUUUACUGGGUGUAAAGGGAGCGUAGGCGGUUUAGCAAGUCAGAAGUGAAAGCCCGGGGGUCAACUCGGGGAGUGCUUUUGCAACUGGUGAACUAGAUUGCCGGAGAGGUAAGUGGAAUUCCUAGGGUAGCGGUUAAAUGCGUAGAUAUUAGGAAGAACACCAGUGGCGAAGGCGGCUUACUGGACUGUAAAUGACGCUGAGGCUCGAAAGCGUGGGGAGCAAACAGGAUUAGAUACCCUGGUAGUC
Molecule: ribosomal RNA, 440 nt
Filed under: uncultured bacterium
Lineage: Bacteria
Description: partial 16S ribosomal RNA
Rfam family: Bacterial small subunit ribosomal RNA
Source: RNAcentral